AUGCUUUUGUAGUUCUUGAGUGUGAUGAUCGGGUGCUCACAUGCAUGUGUGAGAUGUGCCACCCUCGAACCUCAUUUUGAAGUCAGCACAUUACUGUCUGACA
This is a small nucleolar RNA of Macaca fascicularis (crab-eating macaque), 103 nucleotides long. The record is from Ensembl. NCBI's taxonomy places the organism in Eukaryota, Metazoa, Chordata, Mammalia, Primates, Cercopithecidae.